GAUGAACGCUAGCUACAGGCUUAACACAUGCAAGUCGAGGGGAAACGGCAUUUAGUGCUUGCACUGAAUGGACGUCGACCGGCGCACGGGUGAGUAACGCGUAUCCAACCUACCCAUUACUGUGGGAUAACCUGCCGAAAGGCAGACUAAUACCGCAUAGUCUUCGAUGACGGCAUCAGAUUUGAAGUAAAGAUUUAUCGGUAAUGGAUGGGGAUGCGUCUGAUUAGCUUGUUGGCGGGGUAACGGCCCACCAAGGCGACGAUCAGUAGGGGUUCUGAGAGGAAGGUCCCCCACAUUGGAACUGAGACACGGUCCAAACUCCUACGGGAGGCAGCAGUGAGGAAUAUUGGUCAAUGGGCGCGAGCCUGAACCAGCCAAGUAGCGUGCAGGAUGACGGCCCUAUGGGUUGUAAACUGCUUUUGUAUGGGGAUAAAGUCAAUCACGUGUGAUUGUUUGCAGG
RNAcentral lists this ribosomal RNA (460 nucleotides) under Prevotella sp. oral taxon 313. RNAcentral's name for it is "bacterial SSU rRNA". It matches the Rfam family "Bacterial small subunit ribosomal RNA", at positions 28 to 475 of the family's 1533-position model. Lineage: Bacteria; Pseudomonadati; Bacteroidota; Bacteroidia; Bacteroidales; Prevotellaceae. The record is from RNAcentral.